RNAcentral lists this long non-coding RNA (882 nucleotides) under Rattus norvegicus (Norway rat). RNAcentral's name for it is "long non-coding RNA NONRATT011216". The record is from RNAcentral. Lineage: Eukaryota; Metazoa; Chordata; Mammalia; Rodentia; Muridae.
GGAUAAGACAUCCUCCACCAACACACGUUUUUCAUUUUAAGUUUCCUUGAACUCAUGGGGACAGAGUGAUGAGCAGUGGUGACUGUCAGCUGACUGCCUCUACCUACCCCAUACAAACCUGUGAGGGACCCACUGUCUCCGGUGCCAGCCGGUACCCACAGGUGCCAGCAGAGACCACCACCACUGCCAAAAACAACAAGAAAACACCCCAAAACAAAAAAACAAACAAAAAAAGAAAAAGAAAAAAGGAGUAAGAAGAAAAGAAGGAGAGAGAAAACCGGCCCCCACAAAACCCAGAAUAAACAGGGAGCUCUCUCUUGGCAUCACCCUAAACCUUUCCAAAAAUGGAGGACUGUGUCUAAGGUAUAUUGACACCCAAAACUCAUGUUAUCAGAAUCUUCCAAGGCUUCCCAAAGUUCCUACAACCGAUCGAUAUGCCGUGCCACAGGCUGCUUGGUGCAGUGGACCAGAGGCUAAUAAAACUGUCCUUAUCCAUAAGCCGCAGUAUUAUGUGACCAUGUCUGGGCCAGGAACCAAGGCGUGCUAUGAUUUCAGAGCCUGGAUUCCGGUUACCUGGGGAGGAGACACGCUCCGGUGACGUAGGAAAGCAGAUAAAUCAACCAUCCCCAAGACCUGCGGCCUCCGAAAUUAAGGGAGAAAAUCUGCGUGCGGUUGGUUCAAUUGGCACCCAUUAAAGCUAAUAACUAAUCAUCCUCGCGAGUUUCUAGCUCAGAACGAUGAGAUCUGCGAAGAAAACAACAUCCGUCCACUUUUACACUCCAGUGGAAGGGGUGGUCCCUCGCGGCGGGGCGGCACAGUCUCGCCAUCUGGAGAAUAAAUCGAGUGUGAAGUAUAGUUUGGGACCAAGGUCCGUGGCGGCCG